Long non-coding RNA from Thalassophryne amazonica, 165 nucleotides. RefSeq lists it as uncharacterized. The transcript has 4 exons. The record is from RefSeq and is a predicted model, not a curated record. Lineage: Eukaryota; Metazoa; Chordata; Actinopteri; Batrachoidiformes; Batrachoididae.
UCCAAGAACAAUACGUUAAAAUUACACAUCCAUUACAACAUUGAACUACAAUUCUCUUUCACCCUCCUCUUUAAUACUCCUCCCCUUCCUCCUCUCCUUCACCCUCAAGAGAGUCAACUCCAACCUCUUCGUAAUCCUUCUCCAGAGCAGCCAUGUCCUCUCUGG